AUGCUCGUCUUCUUCCUUGCCCCGGCCUUCCCGCUUUGGUCGCGGCCGGGCGAUUGGCAUUGCUUCGCCAUCCACGGCAUAGGGUACCUCUACUCAGCGGUGAUGAUCAAUCUACUCAUCAUCAAGCGCCGGGGGCAGAAGAAGACCUGGGAACUGGAAAACGGUUGUGUUGAAGAAUUGGCCACCGAGCCACAGAUGCAGUUGACGUCCAUACUGAUGUUGGCGGCAACCGCGGUCACCUUGAUCUCCUUGGGGCUGAUGGUCUUGGUCUUCCGGCCUAAUUGGCAUCACUUGGCCUUAAUCGCGUUGUUAGUCUCGCUGUCUACUUCAUUGAUGGUUUUAAUCCUGCCUGUUCCAGAAUUUGAGUGGGAACGAGCGCUUGUUUAUGAAAAGAUGCAAAGUUUAGUCUGA
This 411-nucleotide ribosomal RNA is filed under the name Triticum aestivum (bread wheat). Its description in RNAcentral is "partial small subunit ribosomal RNA". Lineage: Eukaryota; Viridiplantae; Streptophyta; Magnoliopsida; Poales; Poaceae. The record is from RNAcentral.